This 545-nucleotide ribosomal RNA is filed under the name Moesziomyces antarcticus. RNAcentral's name for it is "partial large subunit ribosomal RNA". It matches the Rfam family "Eukaryotic large subunit ribosomal RNA", at positions 122 to 648 of the family's 3401-position model. The record is from RNAcentral. Lineage: Eukaryota; Fungi; Basidiomycota; Ustilaginomycetes; Ustilaginales; Ustilaginaceae.
CUGGCGUCUUCGGCGUCCGCAUUGUAAUCUCAAGAAGUGUUUUCCGCUUCGGACCAAGCCUAAGUCCCCUGGAAAGGGGCAUCAUAGAGGGUGAUAAUCCCGUACAUGGCUUGGAGCGCCCGAGGCUUUGUGAUACGCUUUCUAAGAGUCGAGUUGUUUGGGAAUGCAGCUCAAAAUGGGUGGUAAAUGCCAUCUAAGGCUAAAUAUUGGGGAGAGACCGAUAGCGAACAAGUACAGUGAUGGAAAGAUGAAAAGAACUUUGAAAAGAGAGUUAAACAGUACGUGAAAUUGCCAAAAGGGAAGGGUAGGAGGUCAGAGAUGCGGCCUGGGAUUCAGCCUUGCUUUUGCUUGGUGUUUUUCCCAGAUUGCAGGCCAACGUCGGUUUUGGGCACUGGAGAAGGGUAGGAGGAACGUGGCACCCCUCGGGGUGUGUUAUAGCCUCCUACUGGAUACAGCGACCGAGACCGAGGACAGCAGCGUACUCGCAAGAGCGGGCCUUCGGGCACCUUUACGCUUAGGGCGUUGGCAUAAUGGCCCUCUACCAC